CCUACGGGAGGCAGCAGUGAGGAAUAUUGGUCAAUGGGCGCGAGCCUGAACCAGCCAAGUAGCGUGAAGGAUGACUGCCCUACGGGUUGUAAACUUCUUUUAUAUGGGAAUAAAAUGUUCCACGUGUGGGCUUUUGUAUGUACCAUAUGAAUAAGGAUCGGCUAACUCCGUGCCAGCAGCCGCGGUAAUACGGAGGAUCCGAGCGUUAUCCGGAUUUAUUGGGUUUAAAGGGAGCGUAGGUGGAUUGUUAAGUCAGUUGUGAAAGUUUGCGGCUCAACCGUAAAAUUGCAGUUGAAACUGGCAGUCUUGAGUACAGUAGAGGUGGGCGGAAUUCGUGGUGUAGCGGUGAAAUGCUUAGAUAUCAGGAGGAACAUCGGUGGCGUAAGCGCUUUACUGGGCCGUAAUUGACACUGAGGAACGAAAGCCGGGGUAGCAAAUGGGAUUAGAUACCCGGGUAGUC
Molecule: ribosomal RNA, 460 nt
Filed under: uncultured bacterium
Lineage: Bacteria
Description: partial 16S ribosomal RNA
Rfam family: Bacterial small subunit ribosomal RNA
Source: RNAcentral